UACGAAGGGGGCUAGCGUUGUUCGGAAUUACUGGGCGUAAAGGGCGCGUAGGCGGUCCUUCAAGUCAGGCGUGAAAGCCCCCGGCUCAACUGGGGAACUGCGCGGGAAACUGUAGGGCUUGAGUUCGGGAGAGGGAAGCGGAAUUCCGGGUGUAGCGGUGAAAUGCGUAGAUAUCCGGAGGAACACCGGUGGCGAAGGCGGUUCUCUGGGCCUUACCUGACGCUGAGGAGCGAAAGCGUGGGGAGCGAACAGG
Molecule: ribosomal RNA, 253 nt
Filed under: uncultured bacterium
Lineage: Bacteria
Description: partial 16S ribosomal RNA
Rfam family: Bacterial small subunit ribosomal RNA
Source: RNAcentral